Molecule: non-coding RNA, 4340 nt
Organism: Equus caballus (horse)
Lineage: Eukaryota; Metazoa; Chordata; Mammalia; Perissodactyla; Equidae
Source: RefSeq, a predicted model, not a curated record
UAGUUCAGCAUGGCCACUGACAGACGAGUCGUGUGGUUCCGUGACUGGGAAGCGAACCUGGGCUGCCGCAGCGGUGAGACCGCUGAACUGGAACCACUAGGCCAUCAGGGCUGGUUUGUGACGUUCAGGAUCUUGAAAGCAAUUGUAUCACAUACUUGGUCUUGUUCCUGCUACUUCAUCUUGGCUGGGUACCUAGACAUCUCAGUAAUUAUUUUUUGCUUUGGAAAAUAGAGUUAGUUUGCAUAAAGAUAUACCAUUAUGUUAAUAUGUAAUAAUUUUCUUACUGAUUUUAAAAUAAAUUAAUAACUAAUUUAAGAAAAUGUUUCAUUUUAAUUUCCAAUAUGGUAAAUAUUUAUAGAUGUAGUCCACAUAAAUAAAAGCUCUUUGGGAUCCUCAGUACUUUCUAAGAGUGAGUGUAAAACAAAGACUGACACGUCUGAGCACCACGUCCAUAAGCUGAGUUUAUGCGACCCCCACACAUCCUGUUGAGGUGGGUACUGUUGUUAUCAACCCUGUUUUACAGAUGAGGAGACUGAGCCCGAGCAGGGGAGCAGUUGUCCAAAAUCAUACAGUCAGUAAGUGCCAGACGGUGUUUGAACACGAAUCAGCUGACUCCAUGGUUUGUGUCUUCAAACCAUCAUGCCACAGUGCCUUUAAUAGCAUGGGUUUGUUGAUUUCCUACAACAUUUCUAAGCAUCACAGAGUAACCACUAGAUGGAGGCCCAGUCCUUGUUCCCCCAGGUUUCUCCAUUCCCUUCUUGCCCAGCAGAAUCCUUGGGCUCCAAGUGCCCGACUUUGUGGUGUUCCCAGGGAAAAGAUGUGGGGUUGAUCUCUGCUGUGCCCUCACACGUGGACCUCACACUAAUGGACUGGAUCCUAACUGACAGACGUGUGGGUGGAACUGCAUCUUUUCUGGGUGGCACCUGCACGUGUCCAUUUAAUGGAACAGCAUCAGUGCUGGUCCAAGUUACUGUGCACUGGGGGUCCCGACACCUGCCUCUCCUGGGGCAGAUCUCAGACUAGUGUAUAGCUAUAAAAGUGAGGAAUAUAUAAGAUGAGUUUGAGCAUCAAUUGCCUUUUCAAACAGAUUCUAUUUUUAAAAGAAUACUUUCCAUCAAGAUUUCUUCCAAUUAUAGGUUCCUUAGACAUAAUUAAACUUGUUUUACUUGUACAAAUUCAGUUCAGGAAAAGAUUUGUUGAGCAGAGUGGUAUUUGCGAUGCUUUGGGCACCGGGAGUGUGAUAUGUACUCUACAUUUAGGCAGCUCAUCAUCCGAGUCUAAAACUUACCAAGAAUGUUCAUUUAAAAAUGUUUACUGAGCAGCAGCUCUGAAUGGAGCCCUGUCUGGUCCAGGAGGUGGGCCGUGAACAAGGCUGGAGUCUGCUCUUGGAGAGUUUACAUUCUGGGGUGUAGCAUGUUUAUAACGUGAAGGCAGGCCAUUUUAAACAAUAUGGCAGGAUGGUAUAGCAGCUCUGGCUCCAACAGAUAGCUGAGUCCCUGCUGUGUAUCUAGCUGGCCUUUUCUUGCGUGCCGUGCCGCAUAAAAGUAAACAGUUCCACCCUUGGGGGUGUAAAAUUUGAUCGAGGAACAAAAAUCAGUGAUCCCCCUAAGAGCUGGAUACACAAGCCGUGUCCACGGUGCGUACAGAUGCUGCUGCCUCCCUCCAGGGAGCACAGGGCCGGGGAGGCCCUGCAGCGGGGCGAUGCACGGCACUGCGUCCUGCCCGCUGCUGUUCGCCGGGGAGCCCUGGGCAGCACCAUCUGGCAUGGACAUGUGCGGUGAAGAACAGCACAGGAAGUGGCAGACACACAAGACCAGAUUGAGUGCAAAUAACUGCACAGAUAAGACUGCAGCCAAAGUGCAGUCAGCAUCCAUCUGUGCUGUGAAACUCAAGGAAAUUUCUCUUCUUUCUAUUUCUGGGCAUUUGCCAAUACAGUGAAAUUUUUAUAGCGAAGAUUAUACAAUAAUUUAAAGUAAUAGAAAUAAUCCUGAGAUUUUCUCCUUUCAAGGAACACAAUCACUGGCAAGAACGUGUCUUAGUAGCCGUUUGGGGCUAUUGGAGCAGGUGCGGGUUUCUUUUCUCCAUGCCCUCGUGAGGCUUGGUGUUGGCAUGUGUACAGGCUGGAAACAUCAGCCUUGCUGGGGCUCAGGGCUCAGGAGUUGAGUAAAUGCUCAGUUUAGCGGCUGCCAGAUAGAGGCCCCAUGGUGGCCGGCCCUCUGUUGGCUCCUCUGAGUUCGGAGGGCAGCUGUUGCUCCCUCCUUUUGUGCUGCAGUCCAGGCCCCGGGCCUGCAGGGAAAUGGGUUUUCAGUGGCCCGCCCAGCGGGCACCUCCCCAGGGAGGCCGGCCUUUCCUUCCUCGGCUUCCUCCAUCUUCCACACACACCCCCACCCCAAGGUGCCCCGCCCUGCAGCUCCCAGCAAGCCUCCUGCCCAGAGAGAAUUGAACUGGAGUGCCUGGGUGUCCCAUGGCGGCUGGACACUCCCAGCUGCUGCCCGGUCCUUCUCCAAGUGGCCGUGCCAAGCAGGCCAGGCAGCUGCUAUUUCCCCCAGAGAAGUUGCUGGCAGUGCUCGGGGAAGGAAGCGGCAGAAGGAGGCGGAGUGGAGACUCAGCCCCUGAGCAACAUGUCCAACGCCUUGGCCAAUGCAGUGUGCCAGCGCUGCCAGGCGCGCUUCGCUCCCGCUGAGCGCAUCGUCAACAGCAACGGAGAGCUGUACCACGAGCAAUGCUUCGUGUGCGCCCAGUGCUUCCGGCCGUUCCCCGAGGGGCUCUUCUACGAGUUUGAAGGCCGGAAGUACUGCGAACACGACUUCCAAAUGCUGUUUGCUCCGUGCUGCGGAUCCUGCGGUAAGGGCUGCGACACCCCGGCACUGCCCAGGAAGGGCGAGUUCAUCAUCGGCCGUGUCAUCAAGGCCAUGAACAACAGCUGGCACCCGGGGUGCUUCCGCUGUGAGCUGUGUGACGUGGAGCUGGCUGACCUGGGCUUUGUGAAGAACGCGGGCAGGCACCUGUGCCGGCCUUGCCACAACCGUGAGAAGGCCAAGGGCCUGGGCAAGUACAUCUGUCAGCGGUGCCACCUGGUCAUCGACGAGCAGCCCCUCAUGUUCAGGAAUGAUGCGUACCACCCGGACCACUUCAGCUGCACCCACUGUGGGAAAGAGCUGACUGCUGAGGCCCGUGAGCUGAAGGGUGAGCUCUACUGCCUGCCCUGCCAUGACAAGAUGGGCGUCCCCAUCUGUGGGGCCUGCCGCCGGCCCAUCGAGGGUCGUGUGGUCAAUGCGCUGGGCAAGCAGUGGCAUGUGGAGGUGAGUGGGGUUGGCCCAGAUGGGAGGUGGCGUCCCCAUGAAGCCCUCCGCUCUCCCACCCCCAGAACGUGGGCUGGCUCCCAGCAGGCACCUUCCUCUUGGGUGCUGCCCCUCCUCCCUCUGGCUGGGGACCAGCUGGUCCACAGGAGCCAGGAGACCAGAGCGCACAGCCCAUGGUUGGGCAGCCACGCUCAUCUUCCUUCUUCCCCCUGCUGGCCUUCUAGAGGAUUCCAAAGUGAUAAGAAACCCUUGGGGACCACCUGCCCAGGCAGCUGGGUGGGACUGCAGCUGACGGAACCGGGUGUGCGUACAGCCCACACAGACGUGGAAGCCGGGCACACCUGCAGGGGAGCUCCUUAGGUGUGUCCCAUGGGUCACCUGGCGCACUCACCCCUGCACUGGGGCUCUAAUGGUCCUAUGGACACUACUCGGAAGGGAGGUUUUCGAUCCCCAGUGACCUGGCCAGCUGUGUAUCCCAGAACCUCUGCCUUGGGUGGUGUCUUUGAGAAGGUCGCCAUGCAGCCCUGGCCCCCGCGCGCUGUGGGAGGGGAUCCUCACACGCAGAGUCCUCACCAAACAGAAGAUGCUGCUCUGAGACUGCAGGCCUGGCCCCUGGGGGAUGCCCAUGGGGGGCAGGUGCAUGCAGCCUUCUGAGGGGCACCAUACUGACACCAGCAGCCCCCCAGGAGGGCCCGCACCUGACAACUUGGGCUGAGGCUGCAGGCCUGGAGAGGACGGGGACGCCGGUGUCACUGGGUGUUACAGAAGGAGCGGGGUCUGCUGACCCAGGGCGGUGGCCCACUGCCCCACUGUGAGCCAGCGAGGCACUCUCCCCAGGGGCCUCUGCUUCCUGUCCCCCCGCCACUCCCCAGCCCCGACACUGCCCUCUCCCCUAGCACUUUGUCUGCGCCAAGUGUGAGAAGCCGUUCCUGGGUCACCGGCACUACGAGAAGAAGGGCCUGGCUUACUGUGAGACCCACUACAACCAGCUCUUUGGGGACGUCUGCUACAACUGCGGUCGUGUGAUUGAGGGCGAUG